UCUAAAUCUAACAAACACCAACAAAAAUGGCGCCUCGGGACGGAGCAUGUUCUCAGUGAAAUAAAUCACCCGUCGACUCCCCGCUGACACCGACGGGUGAAGCUCCUUCGCCCGCUGAAGCAUUUCCUAAACUAACUGCGUGCACGGAGAACUGAUUAUCCAGAGAGGGGGUUCUGUUUCUGAGAGGAUUCAUUGCAACACAACGGGGGCGGUGACUGAAUCUGAAGAUCCAGACAACAAGCUCCCCAAGCAGCUCCUCCUUCAGGCUCCUGGACGGGGCUCAGAUUAAACCGCCGUCAAACAUUGAAGGCUUCGCGGCGUCCUUCGCCUGACCUCUGUCAUCCGCGCGCUCGCACGUGAACGAAAUGUGGAGGUUCCAAAGGCUCUCCGGUGCAAACACAGCUUCAUGUAAACGCUCAGGACGCGUUUCAGUGUGCGAUACGCCUUCUGGGCGGCGUGCAUGUGUGUGUGGGAGGUCGCGUUGUGUAUUUGUGUGCGUGUGUGUGUGUGUGUGCGUACACAAACAUUUGUUUGCUCUCCCAGGUCUUGCUCUUAAAUGUACACCGGGUGAAUUUGACCAAUUUGACCUUUCCACGUUUGUCCAAACAGGCAAAAGAUCAUGAACACUGUGGCAGAGAUCAAUUCUCUCAUUUCCACCCCCCUCACCCCCCGUCUCCCCCCUCACCCCCCCUCACCCAGAGCUCUGCCAUCAGGCCCUUUGUCUCUUUGGCCUGAAUCCAUUGACCUCCUGCACUGGGGAAGUGAAGACUCGACCCGCCGUCUGAAUAUAACGAGGUGACGCGUGAUGAAUUCUCGCCCUCCGGUGUGCAGCUGAGAGGAGGACGCUCACAUCUCAGUGUCGCGUGCACGAGACGCAAGAAGAAGAGGUGUGCAAAUCCCCGUCUCCCCUCCAAGUGCUCGCACUCCUGCACCACAACGCCAACGUCGUGCUCUUCAUCGAGAAUAACACUCAAUUUGAUUAUUUUUUUGUACUUCAAAAGAAGCUUUAACGUCAUUGUCUCCUGCAGAUGUUCCGCCUUUGAGUUAAGUAAACAGUUCCGGCGGCAUAUUUCAUUUAUUUAGCAUUUGCUUGCUGACUGAUUGUUUGUUAGGGACGGUUCGUCAUGCAGUGUUUCCCCGGCCAUGAAAAGAAAUGCCCACUUUAGUUUUAAAAGAUGUUUUCCUCCGUUGCUUCUAUGAAGUUUAGACAAACACAGCAACAAACUAGAACUGAUUCAACAGGAUCAAUAAAAAGGCUUUAGUGUUAAUUAGCAUAUAUUUUGAGUAAUAAAUGUAAAAAAUAAAUAAAGAAUUAUAAAACCCAAAUGCCAAAAUGUUUCUCAGACGACAAUGCGUGACCCGUGUGACCAGACUGCCGGUGAGUUUAUACACACGAUUUAUUAAUUAGGACAUUAAGAAAGUCAUUGCCAGAUCUAUGCAGCUGUGAAUGGACCUGGUCCAACCCGACAUCCAGGACCUGGUCCAACCCGACAUCCAGGACCUGGUCCAACCCGACAUCCAGGACAUGGUCAAACCCGACAUCCAGGACACGGUCCAACCCGACAUCCAGGACAUGGUCCAACCCGACAUCCAGGACCUGGUCCAACCCGACAUCCAGGACAUGGUACAACCCGACAUCCAGGACCUGGUACAACCCGACAUCCCGACCCGCACUCUCUGCUCUGCAUGUGAUAAAACUGCUGGUUCCUCCUCACUGAGAGCAAAACACUCCACUAGAUCUCCACUCUUUGCUGUCUGAACACAUUGUAGCACUUACAUUGGACUUAUAAUGGUUCUUAUAGCAAAUUGUAAAUUGGCUUAUUUGAUGAAAUUGCACUUUCUUGUUUCUUGCUCUUCUGGGUUUGUGUCCUUAUGGUUAAAUGCACUUACUGUAAGUCGCUUUGGAUAAAAGCGUCAGAUAAAUGACGUGUGAUGUGAUGUAAUCAAUGAUUAAUCAGUUCAUCACUGCCCAGAACAACAGACUGAAGCGUGACCGAUGUGCACCACUGUCCACAAAUAUGAACUGUUAUGUUUUUUACCGUCCUGGCGAUAAAGUCACUCAGUUCCAAUGAUGACGAGACACGUGAUUGUAUUUUGAUAAUUUAAUAAGUGGGAUUAAUAAAAUGUCUUUGGCAUUAGUAGAUUUAAACAUUAUACGCUGCUUAGUGCUACUGUUAAAGAGGGAAUUAAGACCCGUCGUCUUUUUCAUACCGUCCUUUAAAAAAAGAUUUAUUCAAGCUUCACACUAAAUCCCAAACGUAAACACAUCGCGGCAGCGUUUUAAUUCACCUUUGAUUACAGAAGACAGCAGGACAGUAUUUACAAUGCAAAUGCUUUGAAGGGUCUUUUCUUCCACGGCUGAUUUUGGAGUUUGCGUUUGUGAGAAGUUGUCUUCUUCACUCCCGCUGAAGGACAUUUUCUGUGGGUGUGUGUUUGUGUGUGUGUGUGAGGCGUUAAAGUCUGUGUCAGAAAUGUGAGCCCGACCACCUGGUUGUGGCUGAUCAGCUAUAAACCGCUUGGAUCGAUGUGUG
Molecule: long non-coding RNA, 2531 nt
Organism: Gasterosteus aculeatus aculeatus (three-spined stickleback)
Lineage: Eukaryota; Metazoa; Chordata; Actinopteri; Perciformes; Gasterosteidae
Source: Ensembl